RNAcentral lists this long non-coding RNA (413 nucleotides) under Triticum aestivum (bread wheat). RNAcentral's name for it is "long non-coding RNA (TAES_LNC024493)". The record is from RNAcentral. Lineage: Eukaryota; Viridiplantae; Streptophyta; Magnoliopsida; Poales; Poaceae.
CGGCCUCCGGCGCCGACGCCAUUGGCAAGAUUUUCCAGGGGGCCGACCUCUGGAGCAAGAUCGCCGCCGACCCCACCACGCGCGCCUACCUCGACCAGCCCGACUUCAUGCAGAUGCUGCGCGAUCUGCAGCGGAACCCCGGCAACCUCAACAACUACCUCUCCGACCCCCGCAUGAUGCAGGUGCUCAGCCUCAUGCUCAACGUCAAGGUCCAGAACCAGAACAAUGAGGCCUCCGAGCCGACGCCGGCCAAGUCGUCCCCGCCACCGCCACAGAAGCAGCCCGAGACCAAGCCGAGGGAGCCGGAGCCCGAACCGGUGGAGAUGACCGAUGAGGAGAAGGAGCGGAAGGAGAGGAAGGCUGCGGCGCAGAAGGAGAAGGAGGCGGGGAACGCCGCUUACAAAAAGAAGGAU